RNAcentral lists this ribosomal RNA (1065 nucleotides) under Triticum aestivum (bread wheat). RNAcentral describes it as "partial small subunit ribosomal RNA". Lineage: Eukaryota; Viridiplantae; Streptophyta; Magnoliopsida; Poales; Poaceae. The record is from RNAcentral.
AUGGACGACGACAUCGACAGCUCCUGCUCCACCCCUUUCGCCAGCGCGCCGUCCAGCCCCGGCCGUUCCCCUGCCAUCUUCGGCGGCGGCGGCGGCGGCUAUUUUUUCAGUGCACCGGCCAGCCCCAUCCACCACCUGCUGUUCUCGUCUUCCUCGGCUGCCGCUGGUGCCCCUAAUGGCGGCGGGUACGGCGGACUAGGUGACGCGGAGUUCGAGUUCGGCGGCCCUGGCGAGCACAUGAUCUCUGCUGACGAGCUCUUCCAGAACGGCCAGAUCCGGCCGCUCACCCUGUCCCCGCUCCCGGAUCUCGACCCCGACAGCGACGAAGAUGGCAGCGAACGGCGCCACGGCCCCGCGCGCGGCCGCGAGCCCACGUUCCGGAGCGGCUCCGUGCACCGCCGCGCCCGGUCGAUGUCCCCGAUGCGCAGCCCGUCCCCGCGGCUCAAGCUGCUCGGUGCGCUCGUCCCCGCGCCGGAUCUUGGCUCCGUGUCCCUCUCGACCGGGGCGCAGGAGGCCCCGCCGCCGGUCACCGCCUCGUCGCGCUCCUCGUCGUCCUCGUCGACCUCCUCCUCCUCGUCCUCGUCGUCCGCCCGCGGGUCCCGGCGGUGGGUGAUCCUCAAGGACAUGCUCCUCCACCGCAGCAAAAGCGAGCCCGGCAGCGCCCAUGCGCACGAAGCCCCUGCGGCCGCCGCCAAGCCGGAGAAGGCAUGGCAGUUCUCGCCUUCGUGGGCGUCGAGGGACAAGGUCAUCGCGAAGCUGCGCGGGGCGAGGCCGUCACCGCAAUCGGAGACGGGAGCGGCGGCCAGUGGUGGCGUCGGUGAGGGCGACGAAUCCCGGACGACGCGGGGUCAGGGCAGGUCCAAGGGUCGGCGGCGCUCAACGACGGUGGCGGCCGCGCACGAGAGGCUUUACGCGGCGCCGAACAGGGCGCAAGCGGAGGAGAUGCGGCGGCGGACGUUCCUGCCGUACCGGCAGGGCGUGCUCGGCUGCCUCGGCUUCAGCUCCCGCGGCUACGGCGCGCUCCGCGGGUUCUCCAAAACCCUCAGCCCCGUCUUCUCUCGGUAA